RNAcentral lists this long non-coding RNA (471 nucleotides) under Elaeis guineensis (African oil palm). RNAcentral's name for it is "long non-coding RNA (EGUI_LNC000340)". Lineage: Eukaryota; Viridiplantae; Streptophyta; Magnoliopsida; Arecales; Arecaceae. The record is from RNAcentral.
AAAGAUUUGUAGGAACUUUCUUCUUGUUCCACCAUCCACCCGUUUAAUGCCUUCUUCCUUCUAUUUCUUCCGAUUGGUCUGAUUUUCUCAUUACCCACCAAGAUGUGUAACCGCUCUGUUCAUGUAAAUCUCUGAGGCUCUCAUCCUGCCUGAAUUUGCGCAUCAUUCCGAAUGUGAAUAAAAUUCUUGGUGGUCGGUUACAGCCUCCAUUACCAUCCAAAAAUAAAUAAAUAAAUAAACAUUUUGCAAAGGCAUUGCAAAUUUAGAAACAUAAAAAAAAACCCACUCCUCUUGGCGUUUGCUCCACAUUUUGAAAUAAGGUUUGCAGAGUAAGCUUUGGUUUCAGCUGAGCCCAUAAAAUUUUGUUUAUGGCGGUUCCAAUCCAGGUGCCAGAUUCUCAGUCAAGAAAAACACGAGAAACAGGAAAAGCAGGGGAAGAAAGAAAGAAAAUAUAAAACAAUCCAAAAGAAU